GAUUGAACGCUGGCGGCAUGCUUAACACAUGCAAGUCGAACGGCAGCGCGGGGAGCUUGCUCCCUGGCGGCGAGUGGCGGACGGGUGAGUAACGCGUGGGAAUCUGCCCAGUAGUGGGGGACAACCCGAGGAAACUCGGGCUAAUACCGCAUACGCCCUACGGGGGGAAGCAGGGGGGAUCUUCGGACCUCGCACUAUUGGAUGAGCCCGGGUCGGAUUAGCUUGUUGGUGGGGUAAAGGCCCACCAAGGCGACGAUCCGUAGCUGGUCUGAGAGGACGAUCAGCCACACUGGGACUGAGAUACGGCCCAGACUCCUACGGGAGGCAGCAGUGGGGAAUAUUGGACAAUGGGCGCAAGCCUAAUCCAGCAAUACCGCGUGUGUGAAGAAGGCCUCAGGGUUGUAAAGCACUUUUAUUUGGGAAGAAGGGUUAGUAGUUAAUACGCCAUGGCAAUUGACGGCAACUCACGAAUAAGCACCGGCUAACUACGUGCCAGCAGCUGCGGUAAUACGGAGGGUGCAAGCGUUAAUCGGAAUUACUGGGCGUAAAGCGUGCGCAGGCGGCUUGCUAAGUCGGAUGUGAAAGCCCCGGGCUUAACCUGGGAAUUGCAUUCGAUACUGGCUGGCUAGAGUCUGGUAGAGGUAAGCGGAAUUCCGGGUGUAGCGGUGAAAUGCGUAGAUAUCCGGAGGAACAUCAGUGGCGAAGGCGGCUUACUGGACCAAGACUGACGCUCAGGCACGAAAGCGUGGGUAGCAAACAGGAUUAGAUACCCUGGUAGUCCACGCCCUAAACGAUGUCAACUAGAGACGUUGGGUUCAUUAAGGAACUUAGUGUCGAAGCUAACGCGUUAAGUUGACCGCCUGGGGAUUACGGCCGCAAGGUUGAAACUCAAAGGAAUUGACGGGGGCCCGCACAAGCGGUGGAGCAUGUGGUUUAAUUCGAUGCAACGCGAAGAACCUUACCAGCCCUUGACAUCCUCGGAACUUGGCAGAGAUGCCUUGGUGCCUUCGGGAAUCGAGUGACAGGUGCUGCAUGGCUGUCGUCAGCUCGUGUCGUGAGAUGUUGGGUUAAGUCCCGCAACGAGCGCAACCCUUGUCCCUAGUUGCCAGCACUUCGGGUGGGAACUCUAGGGAGACUGCCGGUGAUAAACCGGAGGAAGGUGGGGAUGACGUCAAGUCAUCAUGGCCCUCAUGGGCUGGGCUACACACGUGCUACAAUGGUCGGUACAGAGGGCCGCGAUCCCGCGAGGGGGAGCCAAUCCCACAAAGCCGAUCUUAGUCCGGAUCGCAGUCUGCAACUCGACUGCGUGAAGUUGGAAUCGCUAGUAAUCGCGAAUCAGCAAUGUCGCGGUGAAUACGUUCCCGGGCCUUGUACACCCGCCCGUCACACCAUGGAAGUUGGCUGCACCAGAAGCAGGUAGCUUAACCUUCGGGAGAGCGCUUGCCACGGUGUGGUCAAUGACUGGGGUGAAGUCG
RNAcentral lists this ribosomal RNA (1475 nucleotides) under uncultured prokaryote. Its description in RNAcentral is "partial 16S ribosomal RNA". It matches the Rfam family "Bacterial small subunit ribosomal RNA". The record is from RNAcentral.